RNAcentral lists this long non-coding RNA (1154 nucleotides) under Anser brachyrhynchus (Pink-footed goose). RNAcentral's name for it is "lncRNA (ENSABRG00000017020.1)". Lineage: Eukaryota; Metazoa; Chordata; Aves; Anseriformes; Anatidae. The record is from RNAcentral.
CUGGAUUUUUUUUUUCCUGGUUCGAGGUGGUUGAGAGAGACUCCAGGCUGUAUGUGUUCUGCUGGACAAACAUGCUCCAGGAUUUGAUCCUCGGCUCCCAUGCAAAUUGGAUUAUGGCAGCACUUCUCAAGGUACUGUCAUGAGCUUUUCCAUGCACUCAAGUCCUGAGGCAAAACCCACUGAAGACUUCCUGACAUCAAUGGGCUUUGGAUCUAAUCCACAGACAGCUAGUUUCUUUUGGAAAACGUUGAGUGAAAUUGCAAUUAUUUUUUUGAUCUAGUGUAUGCUGAAUUUGUCUACUUGGGCUGUGAAAGACUUCCUCACUCCUAUAUAGGAGCUAGAAGCAGGCACUGAGACCAUCAGUGGUGACAAGGUGGGUGCCUAUGCGGUAAGCAACAGUGCGUUUAUAUCUUGGACUCAGCUGAAUGAACACGCUAAACGACAUUCUUCACUGCUGUAAAUGCAAUGCAGUUCCCACUGAUGCUGAAGGAAACCACACCACCUGGGGACCCAAGGUCAGAAUUAUCUGAAAUCCUCUAGGGCACAAAAUUAGGAUGUGACCCAGCUCUUCCGUUAUGAUAUGAGAAUAAUUCAGGAAGUUUUCACUGUGAAACGUUGGACUUGGAAAUCUUAACAUUCUUUUUAUUGUGCUUGUGUGCAAGUUUGAAAAAUGACCACUUUUUAUUUUAGGGGAAAAGCAUUGCUGGGGGUGGAGUAUGCAUUAUAUCAAGUCCAGCUCUAAUCCUAGGUUUGAAAUAAUAUUGGGGUAAGAUUUGUGUGUAAUUAUAUUCAAAGUUAAUACACUAUUCCAUCAAGUUUACUCUGGCUUAGCUGAGAAAUCUAGGCCUCAGUCUACUAAUGCUGAUGUAAACUAGAAUAGCUCCACUGAUUUACACCUAAUAAGAACCUGGUUCUGUAUCUCAUUGUUGACUUUGCUGAGGUUUCUUUCCCCCUCCCAAAAGACAAAAUUCUUGUUUGUUUGGAGGGUUUUCUUUAACCUCUUGGCUGAGUGAUACAUUUCUGUUUAUCAGCCACCUGCAUCCCCUCAAUGCAUUCUGAGGCAAAAAUCAAGGAAUACGAAAGUCCAAUUUUAAAUUCAAUCAGUUCCCAAGUUGUUUGAUGCAAUGGUUUCCAUUUCAGCAGCUGCUUCUGUC